CUCAGAUUGAACGCUGGCGGCAGGCUUAACACAUGCAAGUCGAGCGGUAGCACAGGGGAGCUUGCUCCCUGGGUGACGAGCGGCGGACGGGUGAGUAAUGUCUGGGAAACUGCCUGAUGGAGGGGGAUAACUACCGGAAACGGUAGCUAAUACCGCAUAACGUCGCAAGACCAAAGAGGGGGACCUUCGGGCCUCUUGCCAUCAGAUGUGCCCAGAUGGGAUUAGCUAGUAGGUGGGGUAAUGGCUCACCUAGGCGACGAUCCCUAGCUGGUCUGAGAGGAUGACCAGCCACACUGGAACUGAGACACGGUCCAGACUCCUACGGGAGGCAGCAGUGGGGAAUAUUGCACAAUGGGCGCAAGCCUGAUGCAGCCAUGCCGCGUGUGUGAAGAAGGCCUUCGGGUUGUAAAGCACUUUCAGCGAGGAGGAAGGUGGUGAACUUAAUACGUUCAUCAAUUGACGUUACUCGCAGAAGAAGCACCGGCUAACUCCGUGCCAGCAGCCGCGGUAAUACGGAGGGUGCAAAGCGUUAAUCGGAAUUACUGGG
Molecule: ribosomal RNA, 547 nt
Filed under: uncultured Enterobacterales bacterium
Lineage: Bacteria; Pseudomonadati; Pseudomonadota; Gammaproteobacteria; Enterobacterales
Description: bacterial SSU rRNA
Rfam family: Bacterial small subunit ribosomal RNA
Source: RNAcentral